AACGAACGCUGGCGGCAUGCCUAACACAUGCAAGUCGAACGAGACCUUCGGGUCUAGUGGCGCACGGGUGCGUAACGCGUGGGAACCUGCCCUUAGGUUCGGAAUAACUCCCCGAAAGGGGUGCUAAUACCGGAUAAUGUCUUCGGACCAAAGAUUUAUCGCCUUUGGAUGGGCCCGCGUUGGAUUAGCUAGUUGGUAGGGUAAAAGCCUACCAAGGCGACGAUCCAUAGCUGGUCUGAGAGGAUGAUCAGCCACACUGGGACUGAGACACGGCCCAGACUCCGACGGGAGGCAGCAGUGGGGAAGAUUGGACAAUGGGCGAAAGCCGGAUCCAGCAAGGCCGCGGGAGUGAUGAAGGCCUUAGGGUUGUAAAGCUCUUUUACCCGGGAUGAUAAGGACAGGACCGGGAGAAUAAGCUCCGGCGAACUCCGU
This 432-nucleotide ribosomal RNA is filed under the name uncultured bacterium. RNAcentral describes it as "partial 16S ribosomal RNA". It matches the Rfam family "Bacterial small subunit ribosomal RNA", at positions 29 to 506 of the family's 1533-position model. The record is from RNAcentral.